RNAcentral lists this ribosomal RNA (584 nucleotides) under Salmonella enterica subsp. salamae. RNAcentral's name for it is "partial 23S ribosomal RNA". It matches the Rfam family "Bacterial large subunit ribosomal RNA", at positions 1 to 613 of the family's 2925-position model. Lineage: Bacteria; Pseudomonadati; Pseudomonadota; Gammaproteobacteria; Enterobacterales; Enterobacteriaceae. The record is from RNAcentral.
GGGUUGUGAGGUUAAGCGACCAAGCGUACACGGUGGAUGCCCUGGCAGUCAGAGGCGAUGAAGGGCGUGCUAAUCUGCGAUAAGCGCCGGUAAGGUGAUAUGAACCGUUAUAACCGGCGAUACCCGAAUGGGGAAACCCAGUGUGACUUGUCACACUAUCAUUAACUGAAUCCAUAGGUUAAUGAGGCGAACCGGGGGAACUGAAACAUCUAAGUACCCCGAGGAAAAGAAAUCAACCGAGAUUCCCCCAGUAGCGGCGAGCGAACGGGGAGGAGCCCAGAGCCUGAAUCAGCAUGUGUGUUAGUGGAAGCGUCCGGAAAGGCGCGCGAUACAGGGUGACAGCCCCGUACACAAAAGCGCAUGUGCUGUGAGCUCGAUGAGUAGGGCGGGACACGUGGUAUCCUGUCUGAAUAUGGGGGGACCAUCCUCCAAGGCUAAAUACUCCUGACUGACCGAUAGUGAACCAGUACCGUGAGGGAAAGGCGAAAAGAACCCCGGCGAGGGGAGUGAAAAAGAACCUGAAACCGUGUACGUACAAGCAGUGGGAGCACAGGUUUACCUGUGUGACUGCGUACCUUUUGUAU